UUAGGUUAAGUUAUAAAGGGCGCAUGGUGAAUGCCUUGGUACUAGGAGCCGAUGAAGGACGGGACUAACACCGAUAUGCUUCGGGGAGCGGUAAGUACGCUUUGAUCCGGAGAUUUCCGAAUGGGGCAACCCAAUCAGCUUAGUCGCUGAUUACUUGACUAGUGAAUACAUAGCUAGCAAGAGGUAGACGCAGUGAACUGAAACAUCUUAGUAGCUGCAGGAAGAGAAAGAAACAUCGAUUCCCUGAGUAGCGGCGAGCGAAAAGGGAAGAGCCCAAACCAACAAGCUUGCUUGUUGGGGUUGUAGGACUGAACAUUAGAGUUACCAAAGUGCGACGUAGUCGCAACAGUUGGGAAGCUGUGCCAUAGAGGGUGAAAGCCCCGUAGACGAAACGUCACACUCUCUGUUCAGGAUCCUGAGUACGGCGGGACACGUGAAACCCCGUCGGAACCCGCGAGGACCAUCUCGCAAGGCUAAAUACUCCCUAGUGACCGAUAGUGAACCAGUACCGUGAGGGAAAGGUGAAAAGCACCCCGGAAGGGGAGUGAAAUAGUUCCUGAAACCAUGUGCCUACAAGCUGUCGGAGCCCGUUAAUGGGUGACGGCGUGCCUCUUGCAGAAUGAACCGGCGAGUUACGAUUGCAUGCAAGGUUAAGGUGGAAAAACCGGAGCCGUAGCGAAAGCGAGUCUUAAAUGGGCGUAAGAAGUAUGUAGUUGUAGACCCGAAACCAGGUGACCUACCCAUGUCCAGGUUGAAGGUGCGGUAAAGCGCACUGGAGGACCGAACCCGUGUCAGUUGAAAAUGGCUGGGAUGAGGUGUGGGUAGCGGUGAAAUUCCAAACGAACUUGGAGAUAGCUGGUUCUCUCCGAAAUCUCUUUAGGGGGAGCCUUGAGGUAAAGAAUCGUGGAGGUAGAGCUACUGUUUGGACAAGGGGCCCGUCAUGGGUUACCAACUUCAGAUAAACUCCGAAUGCCAUCGAUUUAUACUCAGGAGUCAGACGAUGAGUGAUAAGAUCCACCGUCGAAAGGGGAACAGCCCAGAUCACCAGUUAAGGUCCCUAAAUAUAUGCUAAGUGGAAAAGGAUGUGGAGUUGCAUAGACAACUAGGAUGUUGGCUUAGAAGCAGCCACCAUUUAAAGAGUGCGUAAUAGCUCACUAGUCGAGUGAUUCUGCGCCGAAAAUGUACCGGGGCUAAGCAUAUUACCGAAACUGUGGAUGUGCACUAUGUGCACGUGAUAGGAGAGCGUUCUAAGGGCGGCGAAGUCAGACCGUGAGGACUGGUGGAGCGCUUAGAAGUGAGAAUGCCGGUAUGAGUAGCGAAAGACAGGUGAGAAUCCUGUCCACCGAAUGACUAAGG
This 1356-nucleotide ribosomal RNA is filed under the name Limosilactobacillus reuteri. RNAcentral's name for it is "Lactobacillus reuteri partial 23S ribosomal RNA". It matches the Rfam family "Bacterial large subunit ribosomal RNA", at positions 1 to 1350 of the family's 2925-position model. Lineage: Bacteria; Bacillati; Bacillota; Bacilli; Lactobacillales; Lactobacillaceae. The record is from RNAcentral.